RNAcentral lists this unclassified non-coding RNA (200 nucleotides) under Russula sp. Its description in RNAcentral is "partial internal transcribed spacer 2". The record is from RNAcentral. Lineage: Eukaryota; Fungi; Basidiomycota; Agaricomycetes; Russulales; Russulaceae.
UUAAGUUCAGCGGGUAGUCUCACCCGAUUUGAGGUCAAGGUCUUUUCUUUUUGUGGGUCCAGCCUCCCCCGCCAAUGUAGAUUGGCCGGUGACCGAAACACCAUCGUUGUCUCGAGAGACAGUUAAAAGCAGGCAUCCAAGGAACAGUGCCAAAUCCAAAACGUAGAAACAUCUUAUCACGUCAAGGACCAGCAAAGCAG